This 500-nucleotide ribosomal RNA is filed under the name uncultured bacterium. RNAcentral describes it as "partial 16S ribosomal RNA". It matches the Rfam family "Bacterial small subunit ribosomal RNA", at positions 30 to 523 of the family's 1533-position model. The record is from RNAcentral.
AUUGAACGCUGGCGGCAGGCCUAACACAUGCGAGUCGAGCGGAUGAAGAGAGCUUGCUCUCUGAUUCAGCGGCGGACGGGUGAGUAAUGCCUAGGAAUCUGCCUGGUAGUGGGGGACAACGUUUCGAAAGGAACGCUAAUACCGCAUACGUCCUACGGGAGAAAGUGGGGGAUCUUCGGACCUCACGCCAUCAGAUGAGCCUAGGUACGAUUAGCUAGUUGGUGAGGUAAAGGCUCACCAAGGCGACGAUCGUUAACUGGUCUGAGAGGAUGAUCAGUCACACUGGAACUGAGACACGGUCCAGACUCCUACGGGAGGCAGCAGUGGGGAAUAUUGGACAAUGGGCGAAAGCCUGAUCCAGCCAUGCCGCGUGUGUGAAGAAGGUCUUCGGAUUGUAAAGCACUUUAAGUUGGGAGGAAGGGCAGUAAGUUAAUACCUUGCUGUUUUGACGUUACCGACAGAAUAAGCACCGGCUAACUUCGUGCCAGCCGCCGCCGUAA